Molecule: ribosomal RNA, 369 nt
Filed under: uncultured phototrophic eukaryote
Lineage: Eukaryota
Description: SSU rRNA
Rfam family: Bacterial small subunit ribosomal RNA
Source: RNAcentral
UACGGGGGAUGCAAGCGUUAUCCGGAAUCAUUGGGCGUAAAGCGCCUGUAGGUUGUUUAAUAAGUCUGUUGUUAAAGCCUAGGGCUUAACCCUAGAAAAGCAAUGGAAACUACUAGACUAGAGUAUGGCAGGGGUAGAGGGAAUUUCUAGUGUAGCGGUGAAAUGCGUAGAUAUUAGAAAGAACACCGGUGGCGAAAGCGCUCUACUGGACCAUUACUGACACUCAGAGGCGAAAGCUAGGGUAGCAAAAGGGAUUAGAUACCCCUGUAGUCCUAGCCGUAAACGAUGGAUACUAGAUGUUGUGCUUCAUGUACAGUAUCGUAGCUAACGCGUUAAGUAUCCCGCCUGGGGAGUACGACCGCAAGGUUA